This 465-nucleotide ribosomal RNA is filed under the name Vreelandella stevensii. RNAcentral's name for it is "partial 16S ribosomal RNA". It matches the Rfam family "Bacterial small subunit ribosomal RNA", at positions 338 to 795 of the family's 1533-position model. Lineage: Bacteria; Pseudomonadati; Pseudomonadota; Gammaproteobacteria; Oceanospirillales; Halomonadaceae. The record is from RNAcentral.
CCUACGGGCGGCAGCAGUGGGGUAUAUUGGACAAUGGGCGAAAGCCUGAUCCAGCCAUGCCGCGUGUGUGAAGAAGGCCUUCGGGUUGUAAAGCACUUUCAGUGGGGAAGAAAGCCUUGGGGCUAAUACCCUCGAGGAAGGACAUCACCCACAGAAGAAGCACCGGCUAACUCCGUGCCAGCAGCCGCGGUAAUACGGAGGGUGCGAGCGUUAAUCGGAAUUACUGGGCGUAAAGCGCGCGUAGGCGGUCUGAUAAGCCGGUUGUGAAAGCCCCGGGCUCAACCUGGGAACGGCAUCCGGAACUGUCAGGCUAGAGUGCAGGAGAGGAAGGUAGAAUUCCCGGUGUAGCAGUGAAAUGCGUAGAGAUCGGGAGGAAUACCAGUGGCGAAGGCGGCCUUCUGGACUGACACUGACGCUGAGGUGCGAAAGCGUGGGUAGCAAACAGGAUUAGAUACCCUUGUAGUC